This 24-nucleotide non-coding RNA is filed under the name Arabidopsis thaliana (thale cress). The record is from RNAcentral. Lineage: Eukaryota; Viridiplantae; Streptophyta; Magnoliopsida; Brassicales; Brassicaceae.
CUAGAGUUAUUUAUCUUGAUGGGU